RNAcentral lists this ribosomal RNA (468 nucleotides) under uncultured bacterium. RNAcentral describes it as "partial 16S ribosomal RNA". It matches the Rfam family "Bacterial small subunit ribosomal RNA", at positions 28 to 507 of the family's 1533-position model. The record is from RNAcentral.
GACGAACGCUGGCGGCGUGCUUAACACAUGCAGGUCGAACGGAAAGGCCCUGCUUUUGUGGGGUGCUCGAGUGGCGAACGGGUGAGUAACACGUGAGUAACCUGCCCUUGACUUUGGGAUAACUUCAGGAAACUGGGGCUAAUACCGGAUAGGAGCUCCUGCUGCAUGGUGGGGGUUGGAAAGUUUCGGCGGUUGGGGAUGGACUCGCGGCUUAUCAGCUUGUUGGUGGGGUAGUGGCUUACCAAGGCUUUGACGGGUAGCCGGCCUGAGAGGGUGACCGGCCACAUUGGGACUGAGAUACGGUCCAGACUCCUACGGGAGGCAGCAGUGGGGAAUAUUGCACAAUGGGCGGAAGCCUGAUGCAGCAACGCCGCGUGCGGGAUGACGGCCUUCGGGUUGUAAACCGCUUUCGCCUGUGACGAAGCGUGAGUGACGGUAAUGGGUAAAGAAGCACCGGCUAACUACGUG